UCCCUAGUAGCUCAGACGGUAAAGCAUCUGCCUGCAAUGCAGGAGGCCUGGGUUCGAUUCCUGGUUCAGGAA
This 72-nucleotide transfer RNA is filed under the name Bos taurus (domestic cattle). It matches the Rfam family "tRNA". Rfam says of the family: Transfer RNA (tRNA) molecules are approximately 80 nucleotides in length. Their secondary structure includes four short double-helical elements and three loops (D, anti-codon, and T loops). Further hydrogen bonds mediate the characteristic L-shaped molecular structure. tRNAs have two regions of fundamental functional importance: the anti-codon, which is responsible for specific mRNA codon recognition, and the 3' end, to which the tRNAs corresponding amino acid is attached (by aminoacyl-tRNA synthetases). tRNAs cope with the degeneracy of the genetic code in two manners: having more than one tRNA (with a specific anti-codon) for a particular amino acid; and 'wobble' base-pairing, i.e. permitting non-standard base-pairing at the 3rd anti-codon position. The record is from Rfam by way of RNAcentral. Lineage: Eukaryota; Metazoa; Chordata; Mammalia; Artiodactyla; Bovidae. RNAcentral also lists the same sequence under 1 other name.